UGUUGACUAUUAUCUACUGGAGUUAAUUACUGUGCAUUAUCUGUCGCCAAAUAUAACACUUCUGCGCAUGGUGGAAUAAGAACAAUCCAUCUUCUUUCAUUCUUGUAUUGUGCAUUCCCAAAUUACUAGCAUUGUGCUGAUGGUUAUGCGUGGCCCAGUGGUGUUUUGGCCCUGGUUUGGCGUCUUCCGCCGAAUUUCCACCGUACAGAGUAGAUAUUUUAUUAUUAUUAGUUAGGCUCUGUGCACCAUACAACCAUAGACCGUAACCUUGAGCAAAAAGGGUCAGUAUUCCUGGUGUCCCUACCUAUGACGAGAGA
RNAcentral lists this small RNA (317 nucleotides) under Histoplasma capsulatum. RNAcentral's name for it is "hypothetical RNA". The record is from RNAcentral. RNAcentral also lists the same sequence under 1 other name. Lineage: Eukaryota; Fungi; Ascomycota; Eurotiomycetes; Onygenales; Ajellomycetaceae.